This 328-nucleotide long non-coding RNA is filed under the name Brachypodium distachyon (stiff brome). RNAcentral's name for it is "long non-coding RNA (BDIS_LNC005054)". Lineage: Eukaryota; Viridiplantae; Streptophyta; Magnoliopsida; Poales; Poaceae. The record is from RNAcentral.
AUUUUUUGUUGUAUUUAUAAGGAAAAAUUAAUAGUUGGUAAAUGGACAUAUUCAUGACGAGAUCAAGAAUCUGUUGCAGGCUCGAUUGGGUAGCAGUGAUAUAGAGUAGUGAUACAAUUGGGAGAGUCGAGAAAGGAAGAAUUCUAGAGUCUCGAGGACGAAGAUGGAAUACAGCCCAGUUCUGUGUCAACUGUCAAGUCAUCCAACAAGAGGAUUCUGAGAGUAGAGCAGUGCGGUGUUCCCAGCUGCAUUUGUUUUAACAACGGUCUCGCUUUAUUUAUUCAAGGAACAUAGUACAACUGAUGGAAAAAAAAAAGGAAGACAACAA